CAGCGUUUUGCUGCAGUUUCACCAUAUCUGUUGGUCGCGUCGGACUCAAGGGCUGUAGUUAUUGUAUAAUCAGUGGCUAUUAUAGCUAAUAAAGGUGCUCGACGUGUCAAAAGUUAUUUUCCAGCAUGGCAUCUUUGGCUCGACAUAUUCACAAACAAGGCAGAGAUAUUAACGUGGGGAGAAUUGUAGUGGAAGAUCAUUGCAGCCACUGUCCCUAUUUUACCAAAUGUGGUCAAAUACUUCAAUUGUUGCUGAAGAAAAGUCCUGAGUGAUCAAAUGUUAUCCUUCAGCUGUGAUGCAGUUAACGUUAUUCCUCACACUCGAACAGAGUAUUCCAGGUUUACUAUACCCUCCAGUCUUGUCGGGAUAUUAUUUGAUAGAUUCACAGCCAAAGAAAUGGAUAAAACGAAAGAUUUACUGGAUUCAAGUUCUAUAUCAAGUCCAUAUAUUCCAAUACAUUGCUGGGUUUAUUUUACAAAAAAUGCAAAAACGAUGCUAAGACCCGGAAGACUGCAGAAGAAUUCAGUCAUUAUUUAAUCCCGAACCGGACUGUUUGAUAACUGACUCUAUGAUUGCAGUAAUGCAGGAAACAGAAUACGGACGCCUAACCGUACCAUUGGCCAGUGUCCUAGCUGCUCGAAAUUGAAUUUAGAUUAAACUAUGCUCAUGAAGGUGUUACAGCCACAGUUUUUGAAAAUUUUAAUAUGGAAUCAUUUGGUAUCGCCCAAAACGAUACUAGCAUGCUGGACAUCUUGGAAAAAUAAGGUGCCAUCAAACAGAAUUUAUCCCUACGAAAACUGCUUAAAAAUAAAUGUAGAUGAAGAGCAUGAUCUCUUUUCACUUUAUUUUGCAAGGUAGUGCGUUUAGAUGUGAUUCCAGUUUUAUUUUUUAGCAGUAAUUAAACAAAGCAAUCUAUUUUCCAUAACAAAGUUUUCAUUGCAAUAUAGUAUAUUUUCAUGACAAUAGGCAAUGUAAGUUGCAUAAUAAAAAUAUAGCAUAUAUAGAACUGUUUGAGUUGUCCCAGCUGUUAGCUGUAUUUCUGGCAACUAGCAUUUUCCCAGAUGGUUGAGCAUGACCUUUGAUGUCAUCAGUUUCAGGUGACUGAUCAUGACCAACCACCUGUGAAGGUGAUUUGGCCAUGUGCACUGAGUAGUCUGGAAGACAGCUCAGUUGGUGGUGUUUAUGUCUGUAUGUGUUACUUUGGUUAUUGCUUUGGACAUUUAUUCGCUAUAUAAUUAAGACAUUUAUUAAAUAUACUUUGGAGUCGCUUUAACACCAGCGACAGAUGAUUUCCAGUUGCGUAUUUCAGAAAUGAAAAUUAUUUUCAAGCCAAAUCAGACGAUCAUCAAUGCUAUGGAAUGGUCUGAGCAUUUUUAGGCGCUCCCGUAGUUUGUGUACCAAGACAGCGCACAACCUGAUUAACCCCAACCUGGUACACAUAUUACGGGAGCACUCUUUUUUAUAUCCAAAAUUUGGCCAAGUAUUCAUAAUAUCAAACCAUUUAUCCAUAGACCAUGCUGAUCAAGAGCUCUGGCCCACCUCUCUGCUGCAUCAAUCUUGCAGUAGUCUUAGAUAGAUAGCACCUGGGCUGCAUAUUUGACACACACUUUUGGGUAGCUACGUAAGCACAAGUGGGAUUCUGUCAAUUUGCAGGAGCGGAACUGUUCGGAUGAAAAAGGAGGGUACUGCACGAAAAUGGUCAUCAUUCCACCAGCGUGACUCGCAAACACAUUAUUGCGUACUGUUUUGAGUAAAUGAAAUGAUCAGAACCAUUGAAACAUGUAUAUGGGAAAGUUAACCUCAAAUUGUUUAACUCAUGGAACAUUUUACGGUUUGCGCUAAGUCCAUCCAUCUGUAAUGAGCCCCAAACCCACUUCAACACUUUCCGAAAAAAUGCUAGCGAGAUUGUCUGAGGGCUUUGAAAACUUCCCAAUCAAACCAUGUGCAUAAACUUGCAGUGCAUUGUGUGCAGGAACUUUUUCUCUGCUUUUCUCGACUCUCCCAAGUCAACAAAGCCAUCAUAUCUUCUUUUGAAUUGUAGACAAUAUUUUCUUUGACUAAAAAGAUAGGUUUAUCUUCAAAUAUUUUGAAUCGACCAAGUUAUGUCGGGUUUUGAACCAAAUUUUGCACAUUAAAGUUUGUUUAGUAAUAAUAAUUGUACAAUUAUAAAUUUGGGCACUCCUCAACUAAUUUUGUUCGCCUACUUUACAUCAAUUUGUGUAAAGGAACUGAAACUUAUGGACAGGUGUAUGUGUAUUCAAUUGGCUAUGAGUCCCUGAGCUCGUAAUAGAAGUGAAACAAGGGAAAUCUUCAAAACACUUUUCCCAGAUGAAAUAAAUAUUUCACAAUUUAGUGAUCUAAAAUAAUGAUAGAAGAAAUUACUUAUUAUUGCUCAAAGGAAGUGCCCACAUAGCAGUGUUAUGUCAUUCGCAAGAUGAUACUGUUAAUGGAAGUAAAAAUAGAAGGUACUACGCUCAGACAAACAAUGUAGAAUUUUCAAGGUAUUAACAUGAUGAUAUCAACACCAGCCGAACAUUGUGAAUUCUUGAAACAGAUGAUUAGAAAAAUAUGUAAUACCUUAAAG
Non-coding RNA from Styela clava, 2584 nucleotides. Lineage: Eukaryota; Metazoa; Chordata; Ascidiacea; Stolidobranchia; Styelidae. The record is from RefSeq and is a predicted model, not a curated record.